GCCUGGGUGGCUCAGUCGGUUGGGCGUCUGACUUCGGCUCAGGUCAUGAUCUCACGGUCCGUGAGUUCGAGCCCCACGUCAGGCU
This 85-nucleotide transfer RNA is filed under the name Felis catus (domestic cat). It matches the Rfam family "tRNA". From Rfam's summary of the family: Transfer RNA (tRNA) molecules are approximately 80 nucleotides in length. Their secondary structure includes four short double-helical elements and three loops (D, anti-codon, and T loops). The record is from Rfam by way of RNAcentral. Lineage: Eukaryota; Metazoa; Chordata; Mammalia; Carnivora; Felidae.